This 273-nucleotide long non-coding RNA is filed under the name Ananas comosus (pineapple). Its description in RNAcentral is "long non-coding RNA (ACOM_LNC008602)". Lineage: Eukaryota; Viridiplantae; Streptophyta; Magnoliopsida; Poales; Bromeliaceae. The record is from RNAcentral.
UUGUUAGUUAAUUCGAAUUCGGCAAAAAUUCGAUACGGGUAUAAUAUGCAUAAAAUUUAUUUUCUAAUUUUUAAAUUCGUUGAAAAAUUCGGCUUGAAAAAUAAUUUCGGUAUAAAAUAUAAAAUAUAAGAUAUAAAAUAUAAGAUAAUCUAUAUUUGUAGUGUUCCUGAGCUUUGGAUAGGGUUGGCUUCAGUAUUAGUGACUGGUCGACAUCUCUGGAGAGUGUCGGACUGAGUCGGAGUCAAUUCUGCACGAAUUGGAUGCAGAAUUGGA